GCUCAUCAACGUGACCCCCCACUGGCGGUUAAAAGGUGAAAUCCGAUGCCAGCGGCUCUCUGAGACCUGAGCCCAAAUCCCAUGGAUCUUGCUGCUCAAGGAUGCCACUGCCACCAACGUCCCUGCUCGCCCUGUCAUCGCUGGCACCCUCUCCUGGGUGUUCCUGUCCAUCACCUUGCAAGUGUGCCGGACCCCUUCCAGAUGCCAACCGUGGCUACAUCACCAGGACAACUCCCAGCUCGUGUCCCCAAAGCCCCCGGCCCUCUCCAGGCUCCUGCAUGGAAGCGCCCAGACUCUUCUCCCAGGAUGCCCCUUGGACCUGCUCUGAUAAGGCUUCAGCCACACCCCCUGUCCAGGUCACCAGUGACCUCUCCUCACCUAAUCUGAGGCCAUUUUUGUAUGCUUGCUCCACGAACGUGACCCUGCCCUUCUUGAAAUGCCUCCUCCACACAUCACUGCCCAGUGGCCCUCCUGCUUCACCAAGGAUCAGCCAGUGUCCUGUGAACUCACGGAGAGCCUGCUCUGGUCACUGUGCCCAUCUCCGCCCUGU
This is a long non-coding RNA of Fukomys damarensis (Damara mole-rat), 550 nucleotides long. RefSeq lists it as uncharacterized. The transcript has 3 exons. NCBI's taxonomy places the organism in Eukaryota, Metazoa, Chordata, Mammalia, Rodentia, Bathyergidae. The record is from RefSeq and is a predicted model, not a curated record.